UUCAGGUGCCCAGGGCGGUGCCGAAUGGGACCGGGCUCUCCUUCCUGUGCGCGGGCGGACGGGGACAAUGGCUCCGACCUGGCCCAUGAAUCGCAGCCUGGGCUCGCCCUGCAAUCAGCUGUGCUGCUCACAGGAAACGAGCCACCUGCCCUGCUUCCUCUCAUUUAACUGGUUUAUUUUUAAGUGGAAAAGGCUGUGAGUUUUGUUCCUUUUUCUCAGGGACUUCAGGUCCCUGAAGGCUGCUGCAGAACAGUACAGGCAGCCUCGGGAGCCUGCCUGUGGGAACCACUUGCUGGUAUCUUCACGCAGCAGCACAGAACUAAAGCCAGGGCUAUCUGCAAGGUGUUCAUGGACCAAAAUACUGGGCACAGUGGCAGAAACUCCUGAAGUUAUCGGAGCCUCAUUCUGCCACGUUCACAAGGAGAGCAGUGGAAAAUGUAACUGAACAAAAAGGCAGGUCCUGGCACACUUCUGUAGCUGUGCUGUCCAAGGCUGCAUCUCUUGCUGCUGUUCGUGUGGUCCUGGUGAGCAGAGAGGCUCUCCAGCUGGGAGGCAGCACGACUGCCACCAGUUUGAUCUGGACUUUUGCUGACAUCUACAGUGAUAUCCCCUGUAAGACUGUCUCACUGUCCAGACGGUACCAUCCUGCUUUCCUGGAUUUUUCCUCUACAAAUCAGUUCUGUAAAACAUCAAGGUGGCCUAAUUAUUUUCUAUGCUUUGAAGAAAAGUGUUGUGUUUGUGCUCUUCCAUUCAGCCCCUGCAAUGCCUCCAGCCUGUACCACGUUGCUCCUUGUGAAGACAGCUGGCCUAACUCCAGCUGGGUGCUGUGGGUCCAGAUAUGUCACCUCCUGGGAAGCUCUUGUCAAAUGACACAGCUGAUGAGGACUUCAAACUCACCAUGCAGUGCUGUCCCAAGGAACAGAACACAAGAACAGGUAUAAGGAUCACCCUGGCAUCACAACGGAGAGAAACCUCUGGGGGUUCAGCACACCUUGGGGGUGAAUGUGGCAGCAAUGAGGGAAACGCACCUUCCCAGGCAUGAACAGGGACCGAGAGGACAUGUUGGGUAAAAUUGUUGCUGUUUUUCUUGUUUGCAGUCAAUCAGUAGCAAUAAAAUGCUAUUCUUCUCAGGGAAGCUUUUAAUU
This 1145-nucleotide long non-coding RNA is filed under the name Anser brachyrhynchus (Pink-footed goose). Its description in RNAcentral is "lncRNA (ENSABRG00000003894.1)". The record is from RNAcentral. Lineage: Eukaryota; Metazoa; Chordata; Aves; Anseriformes; Anatidae.